RNAcentral lists this ribosomal RNA (304 nucleotides) under uncultured bacterium. RNAcentral describes it as "partial 16S ribosomal RNA". It matches the Rfam family "Bacterial small subunit ribosomal RNA", at positions 506 to 807 of the family's 1533-position model. The record is from RNAcentral.
CAGCAGUAGCCGCGGUAAAACGGAGGGGGCUAGCGUUGUUCGGAAUUACUGGGCGUAAAGCGCACGUAGGCGGCUUUGUAAGUUAGAGGUGAAAGCCUGGGGCUCAACUCCAGAAUUGCCUUUAAGACUGCAUCGCUUGGACGUCAGAGAGGUGAGUGGAAUUCCGAGUGUAGAGGUGAAAUUCGUAGAUAUUCGGAAGAACACCAGUGGCGAAGGCGGCUCACUGGACGACUGUUGACGCUGAGGUGCGAAAGCGUGGGGAGCAAACAGGAUUAGAUACCCCAGUAGUCCCUGUCUCUUAUAC